AAGAUAUAAUAGUGAACCAAGUUAUAUAGUAAAGUGUAUUAUUAAUCCAGAAACUAUAUCAGCUCUACAGUGGGAUAUACAAUAUUACGAAGGUUAAAUAGAUUCAUAUAAUCAAAGAAUUAAAUUCUAUAAGUAUAGAAAAAUUUGGAUACCAUUAGGAUAAAACAAAAUAGCUAAUUUAAAACAUCUAGAAUAUUUAGACUUGAAAAUCCAUCCAGAAAAAAAAUAUAGA
This 232-nucleotide long non-coding RNA is filed under the name Nicotiana benthamiana. RNAcentral's name for it is "long non-coding RNA (NBEN_LNC009983)". Lineage: Eukaryota; Viridiplantae; Streptophyta; Magnoliopsida; Solanales; Solanaceae. The record is from RNAcentral.